This is a long non-coding RNA of Olea europaea var. sylvestris, 482 nucleotides long. RefSeq lists it as uncharacterized. Lineage: Eukaryota; Viridiplantae; Streptophyta; Magnoliopsida; Lamiales; Oleaceae. The transcript is spliced from 2 exons. The record is from RefSeq and is a predicted model, not a curated record.
UUUGUUAAGAGCUUUUGUGCUUUCAGCUGAUUCCUUAACUGUGGAGUCUCUAUUGGAGCUCUUGGAUGAGGAUAGCUUGCGAAAGGAUACCGCACUUCCUUCUCCAGAGUGGUCUUCAGACCAUAUAGCACUCUUAGCUGGAUUUCGGUGCAAGCCUAGAACUAGACGCUAAUAAUAGGUCUCUCCAAAGAAAAUUUUCAAAAAUGGUUGCUCAGAAUGUUGAAGAGCAAAGAAAGUUAUUGUAAGAAUGAUAGAUCAUAUCCUCCAAUGGACUUUUUAGUUGUAUCCCCUUGUGGGAUGUUUUGCUAUGAGCUCCUUUGUAUCAUGCGAUCAUUGUCUCAUAGAGAAAUUAUGAAAAUGCGAUAGUGAAUUUCGUCCCUUUUUCUUCUUAAAUAGAAAUAUAAUUAGUAAUAUCUGCUGUGCAAUGUUAUCUCAAAAUUUUUAUUUGAAAGUAACAUUGGCUGGGCUACAUGGAGUUUUUA